AGUGAACGCUGGCGGUAGGCCUAACACAUGCAAGUCGAACGGCAGCACAGUAAGAGCUUGCUCUUACGGGUGGCGAGUGGCGGACGGGUGAGGAAUACAUCGGAAUCUACUUUUUCGUGGGGGAUAACGUAGGGAACUUUCGCUAAUACCGCAUACGACCUACGGGUGAAAGCAGGGGGUCUUCGGACCUUGCGCGGUUCAAUGGGCCGAUGUCGGAUUAGCUAGUUGGCGGGGUAAAGGCCCACCAAGGCGACGAUCCGUAGCUGGUCUGAGAGGAUGAUCAGCCACACUGGAACUGAGACACGGUCCAGACUCCUACGGGAGGCAGCAGUGGGGAAUAUUGGACAAUGGGCGCAAGCCUGAUCCAGCCAUACCGCGUGGGUGAAGAAGGCCUUCGGGUUGUAAAGCCCUUUUGUUGGGAAAGAAAAGCAGCAGGUUAAUACCCCGCUGUUCUGACGGUACCCAAAGAAUAAGCACCGGCUAACUUCGUG
This 491-nucleotide ribosomal RNA is filed under the name uncultured bacterium. Its description in RNAcentral is "partial 16S ribosomal RNA". It matches the Rfam family "Bacterial small subunit ribosomal RNA", at positions 29 to 507 of the family's 1533-position model. The record is from RNAcentral.